This 492-nucleotide ribosomal RNA is filed under the name uncultured bacterium. RNAcentral describes it as "partial 16S ribosomal RNA". It matches the Rfam family "Bacterial small subunit ribosomal RNA", at positions 29 to 507 of the family's 1533-position model. The record is from RNAcentral.
AGUGAACGCUGGCGGUAGGCCUAACACAUGCAAGUCGAACGGCAGCACAGUAAGAGCUUGCUCUUACGGGUGGCGAGUGGCGGACGGGUGAGGAAUACAUCGGAAUCUACUUUUUCGUGGGGUAUAACGUAGGGAAACUUACGCUAAUACCGCAUACGACCUACGGGUGAAAGCAGGGGAUCUUCGGACCUUGCGCGAUUGAAUGAGCCGAUGUCGGAUUAGCUAGUUGGCGGGGUAAAGGCCCACCAAGGCGACGAUCCGUAGCUGGUCUGAGAGGAUGAGGAGACACACUGGAACAGAGAAAGGUGACAGCCUCCUGCGGGAGGCAGCAGUGGGGAAUGUGGGGAAAUGGGCGGAAGCCUGAUCCACCGUUGUCGCGGGGGAGAAGAAGGCUUUCGGUUUGUAAAGCCUUUUUGUGGGGAAAGAAAAGCGGCGGGUUAAUACCCCGCUGUCCGGACGGUACGGAAAAAAUAAGCACCGGCUAACUUCGUG